GUAUCGGCAAUGCUCAUGAAACACAUGCUGUGAUGCCUUUAGACAAACGUAGUCAUGUAUCCCUUGAGAAUAAUAUUAAUGAGUAGUAACAACGAGCAGGAGGAAACAAAACUGAAAAUUGCAAACACAGUUAAGAAAUUGAAAAGUCUCGAAGUCUUGUCAUCUUGUGAAACACAUAAUUUAAAAAAGAUAUCUUUAAUGACAGAUGUAAGUCUGCAUACUCUAAGAAGAAUUAAAAUUGAAGGGUCUAAAGAUCAAGGACAGUGGAAUACUCCAGGGAAUAAUGUCCACAUACAGAAACAAUUUCAAAUUGGGAUAAUUUUGAUAUU
This is a long non-coding RNA of Spodoptera frugiperda (fall armyworm), 329 nucleotides long. RefSeq lists it as uncharacterized. The record is from RefSeq and is a predicted model, not a curated record. NCBI's taxonomy places the organism in Eukaryota, Metazoa, Arthropoda, Insecta, Lepidoptera, Noctuidae. The transcript has 3 exons.